AAGAAACGUGGGUUCGAUCCUUGGGUCAGGAAGAUCCCCUGUAGUAGGAAAUAGCAACCUACUCCAGUAUUCUUGCCUGGAAAAUCCCAUGGACAGAGGAGCUAGGCGGGUUGCAGUCCAUGGGGUUGCAAAGAGUCGGACACAACCAGGCGACUAAGCAUAACGACAAGGAGUAACUUCAUUUUGGCUUUAGCAUCGCCAUCCGCCAAAUAGCUGUGAAGGAGCUGGAUUCCUUGGUCACUGAAUUUCCUCCCAGAGGCUGCCCAGGAGAGAGUUGUAGUCUCCUGGUGGCCAUAGAGGGCAGAGAGAAGCCGAGGAAAGCAUCCAAUGGUCUCGUAUCUGCCAAGGCUCCAUGGAAACCACGUCUCAGCUCUGGGUCGGAUACUCCCUCUGGAGCAAAAUUGAAAGCUGAACUGUGCUCAGAGACUCUGCUGGCAGUGAAAACACCAGAGUGCGAAGUGAAAAAUCUAUGAUCUCCCCACCACCUUCUCCGAUGAGUGGGCCUCACCGGCCACAGCAUGGAUUCAUUUGAGUGCUGUCUUCUCUUGGCAUUUUGGGUUGAGUUUUCCAGGACACAAAGGCAUGAGAUGUUCCAGGAUCUCGAUCAUUUUUAUGGCCAGUGGGGAGGUAGAUGAGAAUAAAUAAUUGGAUCCAGUGUCCUGUGGAACAAAUGAAAUGGGAAAAUGCUCACGGUCAAGUUCUGGUUCAAAGUGACUGGCUCUUAGAUACGCAAGAAAUUUGGCCUCCCUUAAAAUACGCAAUGAGGAUGGAGCCUCCAGGAUUGAGUCUUAAAAGUGAGUCUUUCACAGGUUUCAGGAAGCAUUCAGUGCUUCCCAUUACCACCCAGCACUCAAGAGACAGUGUCAUCUAAAAAUCUGAGUUACAAAGUAGGGGCUGAGAUUGGAAAUAAAAUACAUACAUGAGUUAUGCUAUGAUGAGGGGAUUCCUGGGUAAUUUUUUCCUUUUCUCUAUUUUCCUAGGUUCCUGUAUGCCAUUAAAAAAAAGACACAACCCCCUUUCCUUUUUAGAAAGUCAGCCAUGCAAACACCGAGUUAAAAUUUGGGCAUUCAUUCUUGAGGCCUUUCUUCUCCUUAAAUGCCUCAAUCCGUGCAUCCUCUCUUCUCUAUCUCCGCCUUCUGGCCCUUAGCGCAGGCAUUUGGGGCCAUUUCAGUGCUCUUUUGAGCACUGACAUCCUCCCCUACGUGGCUUCCCCAUGACUGGACUCUCUCUUCAUGCAGUCCACCCUCCAACGGCAGUCAGAGCAACUUUCUAAAAUAGAAACCCUGUCACGUCACAUUCCUGCUCAACCUCUUCAAUAGUUUUUCAUUGCCUCCAGGAGACAAUUUAAAUUCCUUUCCAUAACACCCGGGGCUCUUCAGAACGAAACCUGCCAAGCUCUUCCUUGCUCCUUCCCCAGCAGCUCUUCCCCCAACCACUGCUUCUUCAGGCCCCGGGGUCACUCAUUCCAGCCAAAAGCCUUUAUUCCAGCCAUUCCCUUUGCCUGAAAUGCCCCCACCUCCCACCAAUACAGCCUCCCAGGCUCCACAAAGCCCAAGCAUCCUACCCUUGUCCACCCAAGGAAACGCUGCUGGCCAUACACAUGGCCUUGACACUGACCCUGUCCAUGUCACAGCACUGCACACGGGGCUUUGGAGCUGUGCCCCCUGCAUUUGUCUCUCUUACUAGACUGUGGGCUCCAGAAGGGCAGGGACCUGGUUUGAUUUAUUUCUGGAUCCUCAGCACAUGGCUUCUGCAGCGCCCAGAGCAGGGGAGAUGUUCAGUAAAUAUUGUUGAUUUCAGAAAAGGAGGAUUAAGUCAAGGAAUUAAAAUGUGGCUUCCUGCCAUACUUGUCAUAUUAUUUAGAACUGUAUCAUCU
Long non-coding RNA from Bos taurus (domestic cattle), 1876 nucleotides. Lineage: Eukaryota; Metazoa; Chordata; Mammalia; Artiodactyla; Bovidae. The record is from Ensembl.